GGUACUGACAGAUAUCUUUAUUCCUCUUAAAGAUAGGAGAUUAUCUGUGGACUUUUCAGCUGCAAUUGACUGGUCCUUGAUUUUUGCUGCAAACGACUAUCCUUUGACUUUCUAUCACCAGCUGAUGUUUGCUUGCACUCAGACUGUUCAUCUAGUUAAAUACUCCAUAUGAAUUGAGGCUCUUCAGUGCCCAUGUUAUUGUCUUACUUAAUUCCCCUGUAUUCACCUUGAUUUUAUUACGCUUCAAGUCCUGUCAGUUGAACUUGGAUUUCAAUAUCCACCCUGAGGGGGUUUUUCCUUGACUGGCUGUGCAUGAAGCUAGGAGUAAUCUAGAGAGACGAUCUUGUCCUAAUUCCCCUGAAGAAGCCAAGAGGCGAAACUAGUAGGGUCGACCUGAUCGAAAAAAUGUAUUUCUAGAUCUUGC
This is a long non-coding RNA of Rana temporaria (common frog), 424 nucleotides long. RefSeq lists it as uncharacterized. The transcript has 5 exons. The record is from RefSeq and is a predicted model, not a curated record. Lineage: Eukaryota; Metazoa; Chordata; Amphibia; Anura; Ranidae.